Molecule: ribosomal RNA, 253 nt
Filed under: uncultured bacterium
Lineage: Bacteria
Description: partial 16S ribosomal RNA
Rfam family: Bacterial small subunit ribosomal RNA
Source: RNAcentral
UACGUAGGGGGCUAGCGUUGUCCGGAUUUAUUGGGCGUAAAGAGCGUGUAGGCGGCCAAGUAGGUCCGGUGUGAAAACUCGAGGCUUAACCUCGAGAUGUCAUCGGAAACCAUUUGGCUAGAGUCCGGAAGAGGAAAGUGGAAUUCCUGGUGUAGCGGUGAAAUGCGCAGAUAUCAGGAGGAACACCGGUGGCGAAGGCGCACAUCUGGCCCGAUACUGACGCUGAGGCGCGAAAGCUAGGGGAGCAAACGGG